Molecule: ribosomal RNA, 243 nt
Filed under: uncultured bacterium
Lineage: Bacteria
Description: partial 16S ribosomal RNA
Rfam family: Bacterial small subunit ribosomal RNA
Source: RNAcentral
AUUGAACGCUAGCGGGAUGCUUUACACAUGCAAGUCGAACGGCAGCGCGAGAAAGCUUGCUUUCUUGGCGGCGAGUGGCGAACGGGUGAGUAAUGUAUCGGAACGUGCCCAGUAGCGGGGGAUAACUACGCGAAAGCGUGGCUAAUACCGCAUACGCCUACGGGGAAAGGGGGGAGGUUCUUCGGAACCUCUCACUAUUGGAGCGGCCGAUAUCGGAUUAGCUAGUUGGUGGGGUAAAGGCCU